GGUUAUGGCUCAGUGGUAGAGCAUUUUCCUGGCACGUGUUGAGGCACUGGGUUCGAUUCUCAGCACCA
RNAcentral lists this transfer RNA (68 nucleotides) under Marmota monax (woodchuck). RNAcentral's name for it is "tRNA.Ala". Lineage: Eukaryota; Metazoa; Chordata; Mammalia; Rodentia; Sciuridae. The record is from RNAcentral.